GUCGAGAAUCUUUCACAAUGGGGGCAACCCUGAUGGAGCGACGCCACGUGGAGGAUAAGGUCUUCGGAUUGUAAACUCCUGUCAUGCGUGAACAAGGUUGCUUGGUUAAUACCUGGGCAAAUUGAUGGUAACGCAAGAGGAAGAGACGGCUAACUCUGUGCCAGCAGCCGCGGUAAUACAGAGGUCUCAAGCGUUGUUCGGAAUCACUGGGCGUAAAGGGUGCGUAGGUGGCGUGGUAAGUCAGAUGUGAAAGCCCGGGGCUCAACCUCGGAACGGCAUCCGAUACUGCCAUGCUAGAGUACUGGAGAGGUGACUAGAAUUCUCGGUGUAGCAGUGAAAUGCGUAGAUAUCGAGAGGAAUACCAAAGGCGUAGGCAGGUCACUGGACAGUUACUGACACUGAGGCACGAAGGCCAGGGGAGCGAACGGGAUUAGAUACCCGAGUAGUCC
Molecule: ribosomal RNA, 449 nt
Filed under: uncultured bacterium
Lineage: Bacteria
Description: partial 16S ribosomal RNA
Rfam family: Bacterial small subunit ribosomal RNA
Source: RNAcentral